This 45-nucleotide non-coding RNA is filed under the name Schistosoma mansoni. Lineage: Eukaryota; Metazoa; Platyhelminthes; Trematoda; Strigeidida; Schistosomatidae. The record is from RNAcentral.
AUCCAGCUGACGAGUCCCAAAGGAGAUGAAACGCGCGUCCUGGAU